RNAcentral lists this ribosomal RNA (499 nucleotides) under uncultured Bacteroidota bacterium. RNAcentral's name for it is "uncultured Bacteroidetes bacterium partial 16S ribosomal RNA". The record is from RNAcentral. Lineage: Bacteria; Pseudomonadati; Bacteroidota.
UACCGCGGCUGCUGGCACGUAGUUAGCCGGGACUUAUUCGUACAGUACCGUCACUUCCUUCUUCCCGUACAAAAGAGGUUUACAACCCGAAGGCCGUCUUCCCCCACGCGGCGUCGCUGGGUCAGGGUUGCCCCCAUUGCCCAAUAUUCCUUACUGCUGCCUCCCGUAGGAGUCUGGUCCGUGUCUCAGUACCAGUGUGGGGGAUAGUCCUCUCAGAACCCCUAGCCAUCAUAGCCUUGGUGAGCUGUUACCUCACCAACUAGCUAAUGGCACGCAUGCCCAUCUUUAACCGCCGGAGCUUUAAUCUAAAAAUCAUGUAACUUAUAGAUGCUAUGGGACAUUAAUUCCGAUUUCUCGGAGCUAUUCCCCUGUUAAAGGUAGGUUGCAUACGCGUUACUCACCCGUGCGCCACUCUCAUUGGAUAUUGCUACCCAAAUCCCGUUCGACUUGCAUGUAUUAGGCCUGCCGCUAGCGUUCAUCCUGAGCCAUGAUCAAACUC